UGUAGUUAACCUACCCUAGACUCGGAAAUAAUCUCGCGAAAGUGAGGCUAAUGGCCGAUAAAUAUUCUGGUCUGGAAUGAUAGAAUGUUCAAAGCUCAGGCGGUCUAGGAUGAGACUAUAUCUUAUCAGCUUGUUGGGGAUGUAAUGGGUCCCCAUGGCGAUAACGGGUACGGGCCAUGAGAGUGGGAACCCGGAGAUGGAUUCUGAGACAUGAAUCCAGGUCCUACGGGACGCAACAGUCGCGAAGCCUUUACAAUGUGUUAACGCACGAUAAGGGAAUCCGGAGUGUUCAUGCUUUGCAUGAACUUUUGUUGAGUUCAAACAGCUCAGCGAAUAAGGGGUGGGCAAGACAGGUGCCAGCCGCCGCGGUAAUACCUGCGCCCCGAGUGGUACCCACAAUUAGUUGGUCUAAAGCGUUCGUAGCCGGUUUAAUAAGUCCUUAGUGAAAUUCACUCGUAGACGGGUGAGCGUGCUGGGGAUACUAUUAGACUUGGGACUGAGAGAGGAUAGAGGUACUCCCGGGGGAGGGGUAAAAUCCUAUAAUCCUGGGGGGACCACCUGUGGCGAAGGCGUCUAUCUAGAGCAGGUCCGACGGUGAGGGACGAAACCUAGGGUAGCGACCGGGAUUAGAUACCCCGUUAGUCCUAGGCGUAAACGAUGCCCGUUUGGUGUUACAAACCUUACGAGGGUUUGUAGUGCCGGAGCGAAGGUGUUAAACGGGCCACCUGGGGAGUAGAAAAUCAAGUGUAAAAGCUUAUUUUCUCCCAAACGACCGCAAGGUUGAAACUUAAAGGAAUUGGCGGGGGAACACACAAGGGGUGGAGGCUACGGUUC
Molecule: ribosomal RNA, 834 nt
Filed under: uncultured archaeon
Lineage: Archaea
Description: bacterial SSU rRNA
Rfam family: Archaeal small subunit ribosomal RNA
Source: RNAcentral